UAAGACGAACCGUGCGAACGUUGUUCGGAUUCACUGGGCUUAAAGGGCGCGUAGGCGGCGGCUCAAGUCGGGGGUGAAAUCCUUCCGCUUAACGGGAGAAUUGCUUUCGAUACUGGGUCGCUGGAGGGGGAUAGGGGUGCGCGGAACUUCCGGUGGAGCGGUGAAAUGCGUAGAUAUCGGAAGGAACGCCGGUGGCGAAAGCGGCGCACUGGAUCCCUACUGACGCUGAGGCGCGAAAGCCAGGGGAGCAAACGGGAUUAGAUACCCCGGUAGUCCUGGCCCUAAACGAUGGGUACUAGGUAGUGGGCUUGCAUGGGCUCACUGCCGGAGCGAAAGUCUUAAGUACCCCGCCUGGGGAGUAUGGUCGCAAGGCUG
RNAcentral lists this ribosomal RNA (375 nucleotides) under uncultured bacterium. Its description in RNAcentral is "bacterial SSU rRNA". It matches the Rfam family "Bacterial small subunit ribosomal RNA", at positions 521 to 896 of the family's 1533-position model. The record is from RNAcentral.